UACAGAGGUCCCAAGCGUUGUUCGCAUUCACUGGGCGUAAAGGGUGCGCAGGUGGGUUUGCAAGUUUGAUGUGAAAGCCCCGGGCUUAACCCGGGAAUGGCAUUGAAUACUGCAGAUCUGGAGGAUUGGAGGGGAGACUGGAAUUCCCGGUGUAGCGGUGAAAUGCGCAGAUAUCGGGAGGAACACCAGCGGCGAAGGCGGCACUCUGGGCUGGAACUGACGCUGAGGAGCGAAAGCGUGGGUAGCAAACAGG
Molecule: ribosomal RNA, 253 nt
Filed under: uncultured bacterium
Lineage: Bacteria
Description: partial 16S ribosomal RNA
Rfam family: Bacterial small subunit ribosomal RNA
Source: RNAcentral